This 45-nucleotide non-coding RNA is filed under the name Schistosoma margrebowiei. The record is from RNAcentral. Lineage: Eukaryota; Metazoa; Platyhelminthes; Trematoda; Strigeidida; Schistosomatidae.
AUCCAGCUGGUGAGUUCAAAAUAGGACGAAACGAGGGUCCUGAAU